Molecule: long non-coding RNA, 762 nt
Organism: Vigna umbellata (rice bean)
Lineage: Eukaryota; Viridiplantae; Streptophyta; Magnoliopsida; Fabales; Fabaceae
Source: RefSeq, a predicted model, not a curated record
AGAAAAAUUGUGUUUUUAUUUAUUUUUAGAUUAAGGUUACAAUGAACAUUUCAUCACCGCCAUUUGGGUGCAGGUGGAAAAUAUGGGGUGUAGUAAGAAACUGCCCCUUAUUUGUCCUUGACCCAACACAAACAAAAACUAAUAAUAAAUAAUGAUUUGCACGCAUUUUCUGCGUUUGGUUGGAGACAGGAGCCAGAAGCUUGUCGAUCAACUAGCCACACAAUAACCAGGACGAUGAGGAUCUUCGGAAAACACGUUUUCCCGAGCCAGAUUAUACUUUUUGCUUCUGGGCUUUUGUUCUUUGCAUCAACAACCUAUGAUGUCCAUAGAUCCAUCAAGAACAACCAAACACCCCCUUCCCAAGAGCAAGUCAAAGCCCUUCAAGACUACAUCGAAUCUGCGCGUCGCUCCCGUUAAAUCAACGGCAUGUAUUUUGCCACGUCAUCUUAUCAACACAUGCUUUAUAAUGUGAACUUCACAUUCUUGGCAUAUGAGCAUCUUUAUUUUGACGUUAGCUUAUAAGUAAUCAGUUUUAGUUCCACUAAACAAAAUAUAAAAAAUGGCCCAUGCAGGUUUCGAACCUGCGACCUUCGCGUUAUUAGCACGACGCUCUAACCAGCUGAGCUAAUAGGCCUUCUUGUUAUAAGUGAUGUGUUCUCUGAAUUUAUCCUAUUCAAUCAUUUAAACAUUCUCCAAAUUUCAUGUAAUGUCUGGAAAGUGUAUCUUUAAAAAACAAUUAUCAAUUUUCCAUCUGUCAAAUAA